AUACGGAGGGUGCAAGCGUUACUCGGAAUCACUGGGCGUAAAGCGCGCGCAGGCGGCUUGAUAAGUUGGAUGUGAAAGCCUACGGCUCAACCGUAGAACUGCAUCCAAAACUGUCAAGCUAGAGUCUGGGAGGGGAAGAUGGAAUUAGUUGUGUAGGGGUAAAAUCCGUAGAGAUAACUAGGAAUACCAAAAGCGAAGGCGAUCUUCUGGAACAGUACUGACGCUGAGGCGCGAAAGCGUGGGGAGCAAGCAGGAUUAGAAACCCCAGUAGUCC
RNAcentral lists this ribosomal RNA (274 nucleotides) under uncultured bacterium. RNAcentral describes it as "partial 16S ribosomal RNA". It matches the Rfam family "Bacterial small subunit ribosomal RNA", at positions 523 to 796 of the family's 1533-position model. The record is from RNAcentral.